This 73-nucleotide transfer RNA is filed under the name Kofleriaceae bacterium. RNAcentral's name for it is "tRNA-His". It matches the Rfam family "tRNA". Rfam says of the family: Transfer RNA (tRNA) molecules are approximately 80 nucleotides in length. Lineage: Bacteria; Pseudomonadati; Myxococcota; Haliangiales; Kofleriaceae. The record is from RNAcentral.
GCGGACGUAGCUCAGUUGGUAGAGCACCGGGUUGUGGUCCCGGGUGUCGUGGGUUCAAGCCCCAUCGUUCGCC